AAACUUCCAACGUCCUUGGUGUUGGAGUCUCCUUGCCCAGGAAGAGAAGCUCGCGACAGAUGUUAUCAAACAAAUCGUUUAUUCUCGAAAAGUUCGAACUUGUUCGUUGCGUUUGAAUAUAUAUGGACGGACGCCAUUUUUCAUGACAUCAUCAUGAUUUGUCAUGUCGUGAGUAUAGCUUCUGACUACCAUAUGUUUGUGAUUUAUGUGAAAUUUGACCACUAUACCGUGAUAGAAUAAUAUUUCCAAUGAAUUAUAAAUAUUUUACAUUGUGAAUUAUAAAUAUUUGUUACAAAUUAUAUCGUACUUGAGAUGAAAAUGAACCAUAUAUCUGCUUAUGGAAUAUGAGGUAGUAAAUCAUUCGAAACAUAAUAACGAUUAAUUAAGCACAUAUACAAUAACGUUUACGAAUGAAUAUUGCGAAUUAUUGUAUGGCUUUAAUGCGGUAUUUAAUGUUUUGAUUGCGGUCUUUGAAAUGGUAUCAUAGGUGCUGAUAUAAUAUCGCGCGAAAAAGGAAAGACCAGUGGUUAAUAUUGCAGGUGCACCAGUGCGUUGCGCUCGUCGAGGGUGGUUUUGACGCUGGUGCCGAGGAAAGGCGCAGAACGUGUUCGAUCGACCCGCGAACGUAGCCUGUGCUCAUACUGCGACAGAGUUCGUUUCAGUUAGGCUCAGUCGCUGUUUGUCCGUCGACAGCGUAUAGUCGCGUCGGCCUACGAUUCCUUUUUUCUUCUUGUUUCUUGCGAACUCUCUCGCAACAGCCGUUCUAUACGUACGCCGCCAGUAUAUCGCGUGAUCAUCGUUCCCGUUGCUCCCCUUACCCUCUCACGUCCUUCGAAGAAGACCUCCCUUUGGUUUUUCCUUGUUUGGAGGGAAUUCAUCGCUCGGACACAUGGACUGCGAAGUACGAGGGUAUUCCAAUUUUUUAAUAUAUAAAUUUAGUUUCCUCUAUGGUGUUAGAGAACAUAACGCGAGCAUUUUAUGAUAUAACGAAUAUAUUCGUAUAUAUUUUAGUUUAUUCAUUCGUCAAAUUUCCCUAGUAGGCCGGCCUGCAGCUCACAUGCAGCACUUAGUAAAAAUUUGUUUUGUUAGAGGUUGGCCAUUCUUCUUGCUAUAAAAAUAUCGUGAAGUCAUAUCAUAUGAUAAAGCACCUUCUGAAAGCUAGAUGCUCGAUAACGAGCCUAAUGAUUCUCGGUAGUUUGUAAUGUCAAGCUUUGAAUUGGCGAGAUCGCUUUGCUGUCAAACCGCCGUCCAGCGGCGACCACAUUCUUUAACCACGUUCAAGGGGUAUAUCACGCUACAGAAACCAUCAAAGGGUUUGCAAGUUAGUUGCCUUUUAGAAGUGGGGCAGUUGGUUGUUACAUGUCAUCCGUAGUUGCUGGCUGUUCUCCUUAGUCGCCAUACAUCGUAGAGACGACGGUUAUAGUCGCCAGUUGUCCUUGCUAAUGGUUGCUUGUUGUCGCUAGUUAGUUCUCGUUAUCGUCAUGUAUUCCAUCAAUCACGCGAAAUUUAACGUAUGGGAUUUUAUUCUUCUUUAUUCUUUCUGUAGGGAGAUUUUU
Bombus huntii is the source of this 1556-nucleotide long non-coding RNA. RefSeq lists it as uncharacterized. Lineage: Eukaryota; Metazoa; Arthropoda; Insecta; Hymenoptera; Apidae. The transcript is spliced from 2 exons. The record is from RefSeq and is a predicted model, not a curated record.